This 114-nucleotide signal recognition particle RNA is filed under the name Dipodomys ordii (Ord's kangaroo rat). RNAcentral describes it as "Metazoan signal recognition particle RNA". It matches the Rfam family "Metazoan signal recognition particle RNA", at positions 118 to 231 of the family's 299-position model. From Rfam's summary of the family: The signal recognition particle (SRP) is a universally conserved ribonucleoprotein. It is involved in the co-translational targeting of proteins to membranes. The record is from Rfam by way of RNAcentral. Lineage: Eukaryota; Metazoa; Chordata; Mammalia; Rodentia; Heteromyidae.
AGUUCAGCAUCAAUAUGGUGACCUCCUGGAAGCAGGGGAACACCAGGUUGCCUAAGGAGGUGUGAACCCACCCAGGUCAGAAAUGGAGCAGGUCAAAACUCCCGUGCUGAUCAG